CCUACGGGUGGCAGCAGUGGGGAAUAUUGCACAAUGGGGGAAACCCUGAUGCAGCGACGCCGCGUGAGCGAAGAAGUAUUUCGGGAUGUAAAGCGCGAGCAGCAGGGAAGAAAAGGACGGGACCUGACUAAGAAGCUACGGCGAAAUACGGGCCAGCAGCCGCGGUAAUACGUAGGGAGCAAGCGUUAUCCGGAUUGACUGGGUGUAAAGGGAGCGUAGGCGGUAAGGCAAGGCUGAUGUGAAAGGCCAGGGCUCAACCCUGGGACUGCAUUGGAAACUGUUGCACUGGAGUGUCGGAGUGGCAAGUGGAAUUCCUCGUGUAGCGGUGAAAUGCGUAGAUAUUAGGCGGAACCCCAGUGGCGCAGGCGGCUUGCUGGACGAUGACUGACGCUGAGGCUCGAUAGCGUGGGGAGCACACAGGAUUAGAUACCCGUGUAGUC
RNAcentral lists this ribosomal RNA (440 nucleotides) under uncultured bacterium. Its description in RNAcentral is "partial 16S ribosomal RNA". It matches the Rfam family "Bacterial small subunit ribosomal RNA", at positions 338 to 795 of the family's 1533-position model. The record is from RNAcentral.